Molecule: ribosomal RNA, 176 nt
Filed under: Lysinibacillus sp. AR18-8
Lineage: Bacteria; Bacillati; Bacillota; Bacilli; Caryophanales; Bacillaceae
Description: partial 16S ribosomal RNA
Rfam family: Bacterial small subunit ribosomal RNA
Source: RNAcentral
UUUUAUGGAGAGUUUGAUCCUGGCUCAGGACGAACGCUGGCGGCGUGCCUAAUACAUGCAAGUCGAGCGAACAGAAAAGGAGCUUGCUCCUUUGACGUUAGCGGCGGACGGGUGAGUAACACGUGGGCAACCUACCCUAUAGUUUGGGAUAACUCCGGGAAACCGGGGCUAAUACC